AGCGAACGCUAGCGGCGGGCCUAACACAUGCAAGUCGAGCGCAUACCUUCGGGUAUGAGCGGCGGACGGGUGAGUAACACGUAGGUAAUCUACCCUUUGGUGGGGAAUAACCCGGGGGAAACUCGGGCUAAUGCCGCACGAGGUCUACGGAUCAAAGCCUUCGGGCGCCAGAGGAUGAGCCUGCGUUGCAUUACCUAGUUGGCGGGGUAACGGCCCACCAAGGGGACGAUGCAUAGCUGGUCUGAGAGGAUGAUCAGCCACACUGGGACUGAGACACGGCCCAGACUCCUACGGGAGGCAGCAGUGGGGAAUAUUGCGCAAUGGGGGAAACCCUGACGCAGCUACGCCGCGUGGGUGAUGAAGGCCUCGG
Molecule: ribosomal RNA, 370 nt
Filed under: uncultured bacterium
Lineage: Bacteria
Description: bacterial SSU rRNA
Rfam family: Bacterial small subunit ribosomal RNA
Source: RNAcentral